UACGUAGGUGGCAAGCGUUGUCCGGAUUGACUGGGCGUAAAGCGCACGCAGGCGGAUGCGCGCGUGGGGUGUGAAAUCUGGCCGCUUAACGGCCAGGCGCCAUCCCAUACGGCGCGUCUGGAGUGAUGCAGAGGUCGGUGGAAUUGCCGGUGUAGUGGUGAAAUGCGUAGAGAUCGGCAGGAACACCCAGGGGGAAACCAGCCGACUGGGCAUCUACUGACGCUGAUGUGCGAGAGCGUGGGGAGCGAACCGG
This 253-nucleotide ribosomal RNA is filed under the name uncultured bacterium. RNAcentral's name for it is "partial 16S ribosomal RNA". It matches the Rfam family "Bacterial small subunit ribosomal RNA", at positions 524 to 776 of the family's 1533-position model. The record is from RNAcentral.